AGUGAACGCUGGCGGUAGGCCUAACACAUGCAAGUCGAACGGCAGCACAGUAAGAGCUUGCUCUUACGGGUGGCGAGUGGCGGACGGGUGAGGAAUACAUCUGAAUCUACUUUUUCGUGGGGGAUAACGUAGGGAAACUUACGCUAAUACCUCAUACGACCUACGGGUGAAAGCAGGGGAUCUUCGGACCUUGCGCGAUUGAAUGAGCCGAUGUCGGAUUAGCUCGUUGGCGGGGUAAAGGCCCACCAAGGCGACGCUCCGUAGCUGGUCUGAGGGGAUGAUCAGCCACACUGGAACUGAGACACGGUCCAGACUCCUACGGGAGGCAGCAGUGGGGAAUAUUGGACAAUGGGCGCAAGCCUGAUCCAGCCAUACCGCGUGGGUGAAGAAGGCCUUCGGGUUGUAAAGCCCUUUUGUUGGGAAAGAAAAGCAGCAGGUUAAUACCCCGCUGUUCUGACGGUACCCAAAGAAUAAGCACCGGCUAACUUCGU
Molecule: ribosomal RNA, 491 nt
Filed under: uncultured bacterium
Lineage: Bacteria
Description: partial 16S ribosomal RNA
Rfam family: Bacterial small subunit ribosomal RNA
Source: RNAcentral